This 207-nucleotide ribosomal RNA is filed under the name uncultured bacterium. RNAcentral describes it as "partial 16S ribosomal RNA". It matches the Rfam family "Bacterial small subunit ribosomal RNA", at positions 568 to 774 of the family's 1533-position model. The record is from RNAcentral.
CGCGUAGGCGGACUUUCAAGUCGGAUGUGAAAACUGUCGGCUCAACCGGCAGCCUGCAUUCGAUACUGUUGGUCUUGAGUACAGGAGAGGAAAGUGGGAUUCCAGGUGUAGCGGUGAAAUGCGUAGAUAUCUGGAAGAACACCAGUAGCGAAGGCGGCUUUCUGGACUGAUACUGACGCUAAAGCGCGAAGGCUUGGGGAGCAAACA